This is a long non-coding RNA of Etheostoma cragini (Arkansas darter), 80 nucleotides long. RefSeq lists it as uncharacterized. The record is from RefSeq and is a predicted model, not a curated record. The transcript is spliced from 3 exons. Lineage: Eukaryota; Metazoa; Chordata; Actinopteri; Perciformes; Percidae.
CAUAACUUAAGCAACACCGAUACAAAGCAGCAUUAGUAUUCAUUUGGAGUCGGUGUUUGUAGACACCUGAUGAAUGUCCA